GAGGCUCAGAGAAAGGUAGAUCCCAUUCCGAGUCAGUGGUGAAGCCGACACGGAAACCGGGUGCCCUACUUAGUCUGUAGGUGGGAGAGGUGCAGAGAACGUUCACUUUCCAGCCUAGGGUGGGCGGGGGAGGGUCUGUCCCUAGCCCGCAUGGAUGGGGAGGAUUUGGUGGAGAGGAGGCGCCCUCCUCACCAUCGCCCGGCCUCCCGGGCCACCCUUCGGAUGUCCCCUCCCUUCCUUCACCGACUGUCUCUCGCAGCAGCCCAGACACGUUUCGGACCGGGACCCACGCACAGGCCCCUCCCCGGUCUUGGAAGGCCCUUCCUCUGAGAACAAAGAGAUGUUGGGCCAGAUCAUCUUCCACGCUUCUUCAGCUCCGAGAUAGGAACGCGGUCCCCCACCACUCACAGGCCGGCUGCUCCUCACCCAUCCGGUCUCACUGGGACGCCACGUUCCUCAGGGAAGCCAGUCGGGAACGUUUUUUUUGUUUGUUUGUUUGUUUUUGAGACGGAGUUCUAUGUUAUCCAGGCUGGUGUCGAACUCCUGGGCUCAAGCGAUCCUCCCAACUCGGCCUCCAAAAGUUUACAGGCGUGAGCCACGGUGCCCAGCCUCCUGUGCCUUUUAAUUCACUGAUGCAAUUGUUGAUCCAGCCCUGUCAGCCCCGAGGGUAGGGUCUGAGGUUGCUGCUGUAUCCCUGGCACUCAGUGGAGGCUUGGCCCAAAGAAAGAGGUUUUUUUGUUUUUUUUUUUUUUUCCCAAGACGGGAGUCUCACUCUGUCACCCAGGCUGGAGUGCAGUGGCAUGAUCUCAGCUCACUGCAACCUCUGCCUCCUGGGUUCAAGCGAUUCUUCUGCCUCAGCCUACCGAGUAGCUGGGAUUACAGGCACGUGUCAACACGCCCAGCUAAUUUUUGUAUUUUUAGUAGAGAUGGGUUUUCACCAUGUUGGCUAGGUUGGUCUCAAACUCCUGACCUCAGGUGAUCCACCCACCUCAGCCUCCGAAAGUGCCUGGAUUACAGGCGUAAGCCACUGCGCUCGGCCCAAAUUUUCUCCCCAGGAAUCUGGAACGAUGAAGGUGAUGAUUGUGCCUGUGGCCAAGACCGGGAGAACCCUGGAUCCCUACACCUUCCCCACCCCUGGAAUGUCACUAUACAUAUCUGACUUCUUCUGAUGUUGCCUUUGACCCUAAAGUCAAUAUGAUAAAGUAACAAGAAGCUGGGACAGAGGAACAAACACAGCCCACUCAAGCAGUGGUGGCAACAUUCUGUUAGAAAGGAGGGGAGUCAAAGAAAAAAACACCCCUCCGCCCAUCUCCUUAUCACCUCCCUAAA
This 1329-nucleotide long non-coding RNA is filed under the name Homo sapiens (human). RNAcentral describes it as "HSALNT0354974". The record is from RNAcentral. Lineage: Eukaryota; Metazoa; Chordata; Mammalia; Primates; Hominidae.